RNAcentral lists this ribosomal RNA (497 nucleotides) under uncultured bacterium. RNAcentral's name for it is "partial 16S ribosomal RNA". It matches the Rfam family "Bacterial small subunit ribosomal RNA", at positions 28 to 507 of the family's 1533-position model. The record is from RNAcentral.
GACGAACGCUGGCGGCGUGCCUAAUACAUGCAAGUUGAGCGAUGAAGAUUGGUGCUUGCACCAAUUUGAAGAGCAGCGAACGGGUGAGUAACGCGUGGGGAAUCUGCCUUUGAGCGGGGGACAACAUUUGGAAACGAAUGCUAAUACCGCAUAACAACUUUAAGCAUAAGUUUUAAGUUUGAAAGAUGCAAUUGCAUCACUCAAAGAUGAUCCCGCGUUGUAUUAGCUAGUUGGUGAGGUAAAGGCUCACCAAGGCGAUGAUACAUAGCCGACCUGAGAGGGUGAUCGGCCACAGUGGGACUGAGACACGGCCCAAACUCCUACGGGAGGCAGCAGUAGGGAAUCUUCGGCAAUGGACGAAAGUCUGACCGAGCAACGCCGCGUGAGUGAAGAAGGUUUUCGGAUCGUAAAACUCUGUUGGUAGAGAAGAACGUUGGUGAGAGUGGAAAGCUCAUCAAGUGACGGUAACUACCCAGAAAGGGACGGCUAACUACGUG